CAGUAGCCACGGUAAAACGUAGGUGGCAAGCGUUGUCCGGAAUUAUUGGGCGUAAAGGGCUCGCAGGCGGUUUCUUAAGUCUGAUGUGAAAGCCCCCGGCUCAACCGGGGAGGGUCAUUGGAAACUGGGAAACUUGAGUGCAGAAGAGGAGAGUGGAAUUCCACGUGUAGCGGUGAAAUGCGUAGAGAUGUGGAGGAACACCAGUGGCGAAGGCGACUCUCUGGUCUGUAACUGACGCUGAGGAGCGAAAGCGUGGGGAGCGAACAGGAUUAGAGACCCCCGUAGUCCCUGUCUCUUAUAC
RNAcentral lists this ribosomal RNA (301 nucleotides) under uncultured bacterium. RNAcentral's name for it is "partial 16S ribosomal RNA". It matches the Rfam family "Bacterial small subunit ribosomal RNA", at positions 509 to 807 of the family's 1533-position model. The record is from RNAcentral.